This 595-nucleotide ribosomal RNA is filed under the name Mycobacterium sp. RNAcentral describes it as "bacterial SSU rRNA". It matches the Rfam family "Bacterial small subunit ribosomal RNA", at positions 227 to 834 of the family's 1533-position model. Lineage: Bacteria; Bacillati; Actinomycetota; Actinomycetes; Mycobacteriales; Mycobacteriaceae. The record is from RNAcentral.
GGGCCCGCGGCCUAUCAGCUUGUUGGUGGGGUAAUGGCCUACCAAGGCGACGACGGGUAGCCGGCCUGAGAGGGUGACCGGCCACACUGGGACUGAGAUACGGCCCAGACUCCUACGGGAGGCAGCAGUGGGGAAUAUUGCACAAUGGGCGCAAGCCUGAUGCAGCGACGCCGCGUGAGGGAUGACGGCCUUCGGGUUGUAAACCUCUUUCAAUAGGGACGAAGCGCAAGUGACGGUACCUAUAGAAGAAGGACCGGCCAACUACGUGCCAGCAGCCGCGGUAAUACGUAGGGUCCGAGCGUUGUCCGGAAUUACUGGGCGUAAAGAGCUCGUAGGUGGUUUGUCGCGUUGUUCGUGAAAACUCACAGCUUAACUGUGGGCGUGCGGGCGAUACGGGCAGACUAGAGUACUGCAGGGGAGACUGGAAUUCCUGGUGUAGCGGUGGAAUGCGCAGAUAUCAGGAGGAACACCGGUGGCGAAGGCGGGUCUCUGGGCAGUAACUGACGCUGAGGAGCGAAAGCGUGGGGAGCGAACAGGAUUAGAUACCCUGGUAGUCCACGCCGUAAACGGUGGGUACUAGGUGUGGGUUUCCUUC